Long non-coding RNA from Lactuca sativa (garden lettuce), 547 nucleotides. RefSeq lists it as uncharacterized. NCBI's taxonomy places the organism in Eukaryota, Viridiplantae, Streptophyta, Magnoliopsida, Asterales, Asteraceae. The record is from RefSeq and is a predicted model, not a curated record.
CACUCUUCAAGACUGUUGCAGGCUUUCUCACAUCCAUGGCUUCCUCCUCUACGUACAACUCCAACACUAGAUCGAAGAAACCCAAGUCAAAAUCAAAACUUGAUUUUGCAAAUCCCUGUGAUUCUGGCUACCCUUCUCUUAUCUGGACUUCAACGACCAAAGAUAAUCCUAGAAAAGAGUUUAGGGUUUGCCCUAAUUCAACGGAUAACCCAUAAAUUAAAUGCAAAUUCUGGGAAUGGGUUAAUGAAGAAGAUACAGUCAACAAGAAGAAAAGAGAUGAAGUGGGAGCACAAUCCUGUGAAGUGAGGGCACAAUCUUGUGAAGUGAGGAUUGCAAUUAUGGACCAUGAUUUCAAUAUUUACAAAAAGAAGACAGAUGAAGAAUUUGAUAAGAUAAUUAGGAAAAUUAGCAGUCUCAAAACAUAUGUAAUUGUGUUGUUUAUGUUGUUUGUAGUAUCACUUUUAAGGGCAUAAAUGUCAAAUUGUAAUUGGUUAUUAUGCUUGUUUUGCUGAAUAUGAUUGAAUGAACAUGUUUUGUUGUUGCUAAA